RNAcentral lists this ribosomal RNA (92 nucleotides) under Carlito syrichta (Philippine tarsier). The record is from RNAcentral. Lineage: Eukaryota; Metazoa; Chordata; Mammalia; Primates; Tarsiidae.
GUCUCCAGCCAUAUCACCAUGAAUUCACCUGAUCUUGUCUGGUCUCAGAAGGUAAGCAGGGUCAAGCCCGGUUGGUACUUGAACGGGAGAAA